AGGCGUGGCUUCCGGAGCUAACGCGUUAAAUCGACCGCCUGGGGAGUACGGCCGCAAGGUUAAAACUCAAAUGAAUUGACGGGGGCCCGCACAAGCGGUGGAGCAUGUGGUUUAAUUCGAUGCAACGCGAAGAACCUUACCUGGUCUUGACAUCCACAGAACUUUCCAGAGAUGGAUUGGUGCCUUCGGGAACUGUGAGACAGGUGCUGCAUGGCUGUCGUCAGCUCGUGUUGUGAAAUGUUGGGUUAAGUCCCGCAACGAGCGCAACCCUUAUCCUUUGUUGCCAUCGGUCCGGCCGGGAACUCAAAGGAGACUGCCAGUGAUAAACUGGAGGAAGGUGGGGAUGACGUCAAGUCAUCAUGGCCCUUACGACCAGGGCUACACACGUGCUACAAUGGCAUAUACAAAGAGAAGCGACCUCGCGAGAGCAAGCGGACCUCAUAAAGUAUGUCGUAGUCCGGAUUGGAGU
RNAcentral lists this ribosomal RNA (469 nucleotides) under Klebsiella quasipneumoniae subsp. similipneumoniae. Its description in RNAcentral is "bacterial SSU rRNA". It matches the Rfam family "Bacterial small subunit ribosomal RNA", at positions 835 to 1304 of the family's 1533-position model. Lineage: Bacteria; Pseudomonadati; Pseudomonadota; Gammaproteobacteria; Enterobacterales; Enterobacteriaceae. The record is from RNAcentral.